Molecule: non-coding RNA, 762 nt
Organism: Poecilia reticulata (guppy)
Lineage: Eukaryota; Metazoa; Chordata; Actinopteri; Cyprinodontiformes; Poeciliidae
Source: RefSeq, a predicted model, not a curated record
GCGGACAGAAGCGGGGAGCCGAGCGCGGAGCCCAGCGUGCAGGACAGCGGGGACAAGGGGAACUUGAGGAGGUUCGCCUGGUCGGCUUUUAGCACUGCGGCGGCGUGGGAAAGGAAACAUUGAGGUCGAGUUUAAAAAGCAGCUUCUUGAAGUCUACUGGGUGUAAGGCCGAGCCUGUCUACGGUGUUCUCCAUCUCACCCAGCUGACUGUGAAACGGCCGGGCGGACAGAAGAGCCUGCACCCCGAACUUGAGCAGCUCUCCGGCCGGCGCCGAUGUUUUGUGCUCCGGGUGAUCCGUCAGAAUUUCCUCUAUCAUGAAACUCCUGUAGCGAUGUUUCCCCCCUCCCUCCUCUUGCGGAGGUAUCUUACAGCCGAUGGCGAUCACUUGGCCAGAGUCCGGAACCUGUGCAUGGCCUGCUGGGGGUUGUUCCUGCGGACCGCGGAGCCCGGCACCUUGGUAGUGAGAUCGGGAAUAAGCUUUUUGGAGUUAAGAGUUCCGUCGUGGCUCCACCCUCCAUCCCUCUCUCCCGCCCGGGAUUUGCCCUUGCAGCUUUCUGCCUUUGUCGCAGCUAAACCUCCAUGCAAAGGCUCACUUGUCCUGCGUGGACUUAUUCAAAACAGAGGUAAAUGAGGACUCGGAGCAAGGACACUUGAAGCAACUUCAACUAGGAACUCUUAGCCUGAUGAUGGUGAGCAGGCUGAGAAUAGAGAAGCUGCUCCUAAAAGGAGAAAGUGUUGUAUAAAAAAAUGUUUGUCAUUAA